Molecule: long non-coding RNA, 825 nt
Filed under: Homo sapiens (human)
Lineage: Eukaryota; Metazoa; Chordata; Mammalia; Primates; Hominidae
Description: non-protein coding lnc-ANO3-1:2
Source: RNAcentral
AGCUUACUAAAAGCAUCUCUCUGCAGCCUUGCCUAUGUCUUCACUUAGCCCAUUUUACUUUUCACUGCAGCCUCUCUGAGAUGGGAUAGGUGCUGCUGUGGUUUAAAGGCAAAAUAUAUCUUCAAGAAAAAAGACUCUAAAAUUCAUCCAUCCUAUUGAAGUUAAUUGUCUAGGAAAGGCAUUAACACAGAAAACCUCUUAGAGUCAGCUCUGCAUGUUUUAUUUCCUUUGGAUUUCCAAGUGAAAAUAAUUACAGGAAAGCCUAUAGUUAUGACUGAUUAGAAUACUGUGAUUUUUUUUCCUAUCCCUUAAUUUUAAAGAAUUCAAUAGUGUGAACUUUACUUUACAUAGUUAUAUGGGAAUUUUGCAAUGUCAGUUUUAAAAUUUGAACUGGAUAAUUUUUCUCCUGAAGGCUUCAGACAUGAGCACGCUUCCAACUCAUGUUUUGCUUUACCCUGUUUGACUGAACUCUCUGGUGAUUCUAGUCAACUGGAACUUCAGCACUCCAGUUCUGUCCCGACUGAUGACCCUUCUUGCUGUGUCCUCACAUGAUGGAAGAAGUGAGAAGUCUUUCUUGAAUCUCAUCUAUAAAAGCAAUUAGUCUAUUCGUGAGAUCUCUGCCCCCAUGACCUAAUCACAUGCCAAAGCCCCCACCUCCAGACACUAUCACCUCGGGGGUUAGGAUUUCAAUAUAAGAAUUGGGAGUGGGCCGGGCACUGUGGCUCACACCUGUAAUCCCAGCACUUUGGGAGGCCUAGGCGGGAGGAUCACGAGGUCAGGAGAUCGAGACCAUCCUGGCUAACACUGUGACACCCCAUCUCUACC